RNAcentral lists this ribosomal RNA (117 nucleotides) under Aotus nancymaae (Ma's night monkey). Lineage: Eukaryota; Metazoa; Chordata; Mammalia; Primates; Aotidae. The record is from RNAcentral.
GUCUACAGCCAUACCAUCCUGAACAGGCCUGAUCUUGUCUGAUCUCAGAAGCCAAGCAGAGUCAGGCCUGGUUAGUACUUAGAUGGGAGACAAAGAAUAACAUUGUUUCUACAUACA